This 508-nucleotide ribosomal RNA is filed under the name Cafius pectoralis. RNAcentral's name for it is "partial 16S ribosomal RNA". It matches the Rfam family "Bacterial large subunit ribosomal RNA", at positions 1819 to 2597 of the family's 2925-position model. The record is from RNAcentral. Lineage: Eukaryota; Metazoa; Arthropoda; Insecta; Coleoptera; Staphylinidae.
GUCCUUUUGAUUAUAAUUUAAGGUCUAGCCUGCUCGCUGAGGGUUUAAAGGGCCGCAGUAUUUUGACUGUGCGAAGGUAGCAUAAUAAUUAGUUUUUUAAUUGAAAGCUGGAAUGAAUGGUUGAACGAGGGAAUAACUGUCUCUAUAUUAUUUGAUUAGAAUUUUAUAUUUAAGUUAAAAAGCUUAAAUUUUUUUAAAAGACGAGAAGACCCUAUAGAGUUUAAUAUAACUUGUUUUUAGUGAUUUUUAGGAUUAUUUUUUAUUGAUUAUAGGUUUUAUUUUGUUGGGGUGAUAGAAAAAUUUAAAUAACUUUUUUUUUAUAAAGUCAUUGAUGUAUGAAUGAUUGAUCCAAUUAUUUUGAUUAUAAGAUUAAAUUACCUUAGGGAUAACAGCGUAAUUUUUUUUAAGAGUUCUAAUCGAAAAAAAAGGUUGCGACCUCGAUGUUGGAUUAAAAUUUAUUCUUGGUGUAGGAGCUAAGUAAUUAGGUCUGUUCGACCUUUAAAAUUUU